Molecule: ribosomal RNA, 495 nt
Filed under: uncultured bacterium
Lineage: Bacteria
Description: partial 16S ribosomal RNA
Rfam family: Bacterial small subunit ribosomal RNA
Source: RNAcentral
GACGAACGCUGGCGGCGUGCCUAAUACAUGCAAGUCGAACGCUGAAGGAGGAGCUUGCUUCUCUGGAUGAGUUGCGAACGGGUGAGUAACGCGUAGGUAACCUGCCUGGUAGCGGGGGAUAACUAUUGGAAACGAUAGCUAAUACCGCAUAAUAGUAGAUGUUGCAUGACAUUUGCUUAAAAGGUGCAAUUGCAUCACUACCAGAUGGACCUGCGUUGUAUUAGCUAGUUGGUGGGGUAACGGCUCACCAAGGCGACGAUACAUAGCCGACCUGAGAGGGUGAUCGGCCACACUGGGACUGAGACACGGCCCAGACUCCUACGGGAGGCAGCAGGAGGGAAACUUCGGCAAGGGACGGAAGUCUGACCGAGCAACGCCGCGGGAGUGAAGAAGGUUGUCGGAUCGUAAAGCUCUGUUGUAAGAGAAGAACGAGUGUGAGAGUGGAAAGUUCACACUGUGACGGUAACUUACCAGAAAGGGACGGCUAACUACGUG